AGCGAACGCUGGCGGCAGGCUUAACACAUGCAAGUCGAGCGGACCUUUCGGGGUCAGCGGCGGACGGGUGAGUAACGCGUGGGAACGUGCCUUCCGGUUCGGAAUAACCCUGGGAAACUAGGGCUAAUACCGGAUACGCCCUUAUGGGGAAAGGUUUAAUGCAGGAAGAUCGGCCCGCGUCUGAUUAGCUUGUUGGUAGGGUAAUGGCCUACCAAGGCGACGAUCAGUAGCUGGGCUGAGAGGAUGAUCAGCCACACUGGGACUGAGACACGGCCCAGACUCCUACGGGAGGCAGCAGUGGGGAAUAUUGGACAAUGGGCGCAAGCCUGAUCCAGCCAUGCCGCGUGAGUGAUGAAGGCCUUAGGGUUGUAAAGCUCUUUUAUCCGGGACGAUAAUGACGGUACCGGAGGAAUAAGCCCCGGCUAACUUCGUG
Molecule: ribosomal RNA, 433 nt
Filed under: uncultured bacterium
Lineage: Bacteria
Description: partial 16S ribosomal RNA
Rfam family: Bacterial small subunit ribosomal RNA
Source: RNAcentral